GGGGAAUAUUGGACAAUGGGCGCAAGCCUGAUCCAGCCAUGCCGCGUGGGUGAAGAAGGCCUUCGGGUUGUAAAGUACUUUCAGUGGGGAGGAAGGGGUUAAGGUUAAUAACCUUAGCCAUUGACGUUACCCGCAGAAUAAGCACCGGCUAACUUCGUGCCAGCAGCCGCGGUAAUACGAAGGGUGCAAGCGUUAAUCGGAAUUACUGGGCGUAAAGCGCGCGUAGGUGGUUUGGUAAGAUGGAUGUGAAAUCCCCGGGCUCAACCUGGGAACUGCAUCCAUAACUGCCUGACUAGAGUACGGUAGAGGGUGGUGGAAUUUCCUGUGUAGCGGUGAAAUGCGUAGAUAUAGGAAGGAACACCAGUGGCGAAGGCGACCACCUGGACUGAUACUGACACUGAGGUGCGAAAGCGUGGGGAGCAAACA
This 426-nucleotide ribosomal RNA is filed under the name uncultured Pseudomonadaceae bacterium. RNAcentral describes it as "bacterial SSU rRNA". It matches the Rfam family "Bacterial small subunit ribosomal RNA", at positions 356 to 774 of the family's 1533-position model. Lineage: Bacteria; Pseudomonadati; Pseudomonadota; Gammaproteobacteria; Pseudomonadales; Pseudomonadaceae. The record is from RNAcentral.